This 253-nucleotide ribosomal RNA is filed under the name uncultured bacterium. Its description in RNAcentral is "partial 16S ribosomal RNA". It matches the Rfam family "Bacterial small subunit ribosomal RNA", at positions 524 to 776 of the family's 1533-position model. The record is from RNAcentral.
UACAGAGGGUGCGAGCGUUAAUCGGAAUUACUGGGCGUAAAGCGUGCGUAGACGGUUAUUUAAGUCGGGUGUGAAAGCCCCGGGCUCAACCUGGGAAUUGCAUUCGAGACUGAAUAGCUAGGGUACGGUAGAGGGAAGCGGAAUUUCCGGUGUAGCGGUGAAAUGCGUAGAGAUCGGAAAGAACACCAACGGCGAAAGCACUCUGCUGGGCCGACACUGACACUGAGAGACGAAAGCUAGGGGAGCGAAUGGG